Molecule: ribosomal RNA, 253 nt
Filed under: uncultured bacterium
Lineage: Bacteria
Description: partial 16S ribosomal RNA
Rfam family: Bacterial small subunit ribosomal RNA
Source: RNAcentral
UACGUAGGGAGCAAGCGUUGUUCGGAAUGACUGGGCGUAAAGGGUGCGUAGACGGCGACGCAAGUCUGGAGUGAAAGCCCGGGGCCCAACCCCGGGACUGCUCUGGAAACUGCGUCGCUGGAGUACGGGAGGGGCAGGCGGAAUUCCUGGUGUAGCGGUGAAAUGCGUAGAUAUCAGGAGGAACACCGGCGGCGAAGGCGGCCUGCUGGACCGUGACUGACGUUGAGGCUCGAGAGCGUGGGGAGCAAACAGG